AGAGUUUGAUUCUGGCUCAGGACGAACGCUGGCGGCGCGCCUAACACAUGCAAGUCGAACGGAGCUUAGAGAGCUUGCUUUUUAAGCUUAGUGGCGAACGGGUGAGUAACGCGUGAGUAACCUGCCCUGGAGUGGGGGACAACAGUUGGAAACGACUGCUAAUACCGCAUAAGCCCACGGUACCGCAUGGUACUGAGGGAAAAGGAUUUAUUCGCUUUAGGAUGGACUCGCGUCCAAUUAGCUAGUUGGUGAGGUAACGGCCCACCAAGGCGACGAUUGGUAGCCGGACUGAGAGGUUGAACGGCCACAUUGGGACUGAGACACGGCCCAG
Molecule: ribosomal RNA, 331 nt
Filed under: uncultured bacterium
Lineage: Bacteria
Description: bacterial SSU rRNA
Rfam family: Bacterial small subunit ribosomal RNA
Source: RNAcentral